GUUUCUUUCUAGAGGUUUCUCUAUUGUGAUAUUUCCCUCUGAGCCUGCUUCUUUUGUGAUGGCUGUUGAAGUCAAAAGUUACCAGAAGAAUGUCAAGUCUUAGAGAGGGAGUUGCCACCCAAGAAUUACUGGUAAGAAUCUGAGGAAGAUGGAAUCUUCUCUGAGAGGACAAAGGUAUAUAAUUUGGAAGAUAUGAAAUGACAGCUAAUGAGCAAUUUCUAAAUGGCUAGACUGGAUAACUCUGCUUUAGACACUGCCUGAUGUUGAUGUACUGGCAGAAAUCAUUUACCUGUGUAACUGAGAGCACAACUCAAGAAGUGUUUCCUGCUGCUGAAGUCUUUCAAAAAUCAGAAAAUGAAUAAAAUACAAGAGUAGAACAGUAAAAUGCAAUAAGGCCUGUUGCAAUGGAGAGGGGCCUGUGGCUUAAAGUGCUUUAAAACAAUACAAAAACUAGCUGUUGCCUAAAGAAAAAGGCUCUUCUACUGAUAGCGUGGUUUCUUCAGGAGGAUCUUGUAUACAAGAUGUACUGAAACCUUGCAUGAUACUUUUCAAAGAAUUUUAAAAGUGAUUGAAAUAAGACUUCGACUGGAAUGGACUGGAAAUGAACAAAAACAAAAGUGUUAAGUUAGCUAUUACUGCUACAAGUCAUCUCUCUAUAGAGGAAUAAAAACAACUUUAUUCCAUUCCUGAAGCUUAUAAAAGGCAACAGCUGAAAUUUUAUCAGUACAGGAAAGCUGUUCCUAGGAAGACAUAGGAGGUACACUGAGCUUGAAAACAGAUUAAGGCUUUGUCUAGGUUUCUUUUUUUAAUCAGUUUGAGCUGGUAACAUCAUGCAGCGUUAAAUGUACAUCUGCAAAGAAUAUCAAGUGAUUUUUUUAGGUGUAACUGUCCCUGUAAUAUUUUUUUCUAGCAAAAUAGAAGAAAAUAAGUAGAUGAUCUAACAUUUAUUAAUACACUCAUUCGUCUUUGAUAGCUUUUGUAUUUUUAUAGUAUAUUAUUAAACUUGGCUUGUAUAAAUGUGACAAAUGACCAUGAUGUUUGGUGCUGUUAGAUGGUUGAACUUCUGUUUAGGUACAGUAAUUUGUCCAAAUAUUCACUUGAAUCAGCAUAGACAUAUACGGAGAGGGGAAUGUGAGAUAUGAGCAGUGAUGGAUAGCACAUCACCUAUAAUUUAAUUCUAACGUGGACUCAAAUCUGCUCUUAAAAUAGUUAAAAUUACUAAUGCAGUUUUUUGGUUGCCCUAAUGUAUUAAGGUAUUUUUUGGUCAUAACUUUUCUGAUGUCAUCCUUUGCAAUAUGCUAUGUCUGUGCUAAAAUGGAAGAACAGCUUAUUUGCACUAAACAGUCACAGUUGAGUUUGACAGGUCUAUAAUUAGUGUCUUUGCGAACAGCUGCAACUUAACCUCAAUGAAGCUAAACUACUUAGUUUUGAAAAAUGUCACAGGCAUUGCAUGUGGGAUAUUUGUAGGGCUGCAUUAGCCAAACUGCAAAAUGGUGACGAUUCUUUUUUAAAUCUGACUACUUCAGUUCUAAUGUUCCAUUUCAGUAGUGUCGUACUCCUAUUUCAGGGGGAAAAAUUCCAUCAAAUUCAGUGUUUUGGGACAGCUUAUGACUAAUGUAGGCAACCUCCACAAAAUGUAUAUUACUUAAGAAAUGCAUACUCCAUACUCUAUGUAUUUUACAUGAAGGUGCGUUUUUAAUGCAAGCUGAAUUGACAGAAGCUGAGAUUGUCUGUGGAAAAGAAAUGCAGUCUAUCCUUAGAAAAUGCAUUUAAAUUUGAAUAAUUUAGGCAUAACCAUCUGUAAUUUCACAACCCAACUUCCUCUGAAAUGAUUUAAAUGUUUUAUCAGUAGGCUUGACAAUUCCAUCUUUUGUUGAGAAUUCAAUCCUGUGUUCAAUACAGUCAAUAUACGUCAGCAUACUAAUGUUUUGCCAUCUUGAGAAUAAAAUGACUGCUAAUCUCCUG
This is a long non-coding RNA of Gallus gallus (chicken), 1965 nucleotides long. NCBI's taxonomy places the organism in Eukaryota, Metazoa, Chordata, Aves, Galliformes, Phasianidae. The record is from Ensembl.